RNAcentral lists this long non-coding RNA (819 nucleotides) under Chinchilla lanigera (long-tailed chinchilla). RNAcentral describes it as "lncRNA (ENSCLAG00000025405.1)". The record is from RNAcentral. Lineage: Eukaryota; Metazoa; Chordata; Mammalia; Rodentia; Chinchillidae.
UGGUGAUGCCUAUUUGCAGAAUAAUGAACGGAGUUGCCUCAGUUCUGAAGCCUUAUUCCUUACCUGAGGGAGGGGACAAGGCCAUCUCGUAGGACCCUGUGACUGAAUGAGACAUAUGCCAGCCCAGUCUUCCCUUUGUUCCUCGGCUGAGCAUGGCUGCGACCUUUCUUUUCCAGUGGGCUUCCUCGGUGCUCUCAUCAUCAAACACAUUUGUUUUGUUUUCUUGCCGGCGAGAGAGACAAAGUAGAGUAUAAGUGAGAGCUUUCCAUCCGAAGUCUGAAGAUCUGAGUUCCAGUCUUUGCCAUUUAGAAACUGUCUGACCCUAAGUGAGCCAUACAGGUGUCCCCAAACCUCUGUUUUUCAUUUGGAACAUGAAGGAUCAACCCCAUCGUGGGACUAUUGUAAAUGAAAUCAAAAUGCAUUCUGUCAAAUGUUAAACAAUCAUGCAUACGUUGCCAUGACUUUAGUGCUUUGCUUUAUUUUGUAAUCAAUUAGAUCAUUUUUAUCUUGUUUGUCUUAUCUUUAUUUCAGUAAUCUAGUUUUCUCUCUUGUCUUACCAUGAUUUCAGUAACUAAGUUUUCCUUCCUUAACUAGUGUCACUUCUCAAAGUCGUAGCUGUCUUAACUCAUCAUUUUCACUGAGGUCAGAAUGUUACUUAAUACUCACUGAUAUAACUUCGUUCACACAUGCAAAAAAAUAAACCACAGGUUCUCAAAUAAACAAUCACCCAAAUACAUUCUAUUUGGGCAAGGUAAGCAUAAAAAGAUGAAAAAAAAAAACAAAGGACCCAGGUGUGAUGGCACAUACCUAUAAUCUCAG